This 6806-nucleotide long non-coding RNA is filed under the name Erythranthe guttata (spotted monkey flower). RNAcentral describes it as "long non-coding RNA (EGUT_LNC000215)". Lineage: Eukaryota; Viridiplantae; Streptophyta; Magnoliopsida; Lamiales; Phrymaceae. The record is from RNAcentral.
GGCGGGGGAGGAGAUCACCACCACGAGGCGGCUCCCCAAACGGAGAGAGAAGAUGGGGCCCAGCUUCUGAGAGAGGUCGUAGUAGGUACGAUGAAUAGGGAAUUUGAGGAGGUGGAGGUGCCCUAACAGAGGAAGAGCCGCCGCCGGACUCGGUGGGAGUUUUCUUUGCCCGGAUUUUGCGGAAAACUUGAAGGCUAUAAGAACAAGGAAGAGAGAGAGUAGAGCAUAUAUCCACGUAAUUGUUUCCAUGCUUAUUGAUUUAUUGUUAUAUGCUGUGUGUAUCUGUAAUAUAUAUAGAGAGAGUGAGAGAGAGAGAGUGUGUGUGUGUGGGGUGGAUGAAAGGCGGGGGCCCCUUUGCUCAGCUGUAUGCGGCUGUUUUUCAGAAAAUCAGAAAGAGAAAAGAAAUUGUUUUUUUAUACCUAAUUUGACCCAUGGUCAGUCAUCUUUGACCGGAUUUUUCAGAGCUAUGAAAAUUCAAAAAAACUACAAGUCAAACUGAAUUUGAGCUACACCAUGAGAACUUGAACAUGACACUUUAAGGGGAUGUUUGGUUAUGUUUCUUAUAGGAAUUUCUAAUUUUCAAAAUUUCUGAUGGAAAAAAGUAGUUUAUUGGUUUUUGUAUAAAAAAUGAGAAUAUGUUUGGAUGAAUGAGUAUUUUUUAUUUUAUGUAGGUGUAAAAAUGGAAAUAUGUUUGGUUGUGGUGAAUUUUCUCUACAAAAGUACGCGCAAAAGUAGAAUAUAAUGAUUGAAGAUGAUGAUAGUAAUGAUGACUAUUAUUAUUAUUAUUAUUAUUAUUAUUAUUAUUAUUAUUAUUAUUAUUAUUAUUAUUAUUAUUAUUAUUAUUAUUAUUAUUAUUAUUAUUAUUAUUAUUAUUAUUAUUAUUAUUAGUAGUAGUAGUAGUAGAUACAUAAAUUGUGAGGAAAGAAAGUGUAGAUAUUAAUGAGGAGAGAUAAAUGAGUUGAUGGAAUAAAAUAUAUAAGUUAGUAGUAAGUUUUAGUAGGUUUGAAAAUUGAAAAAAGUAUGAAUAGUGUAUUUUCAAUAGAAAUUUGAUAAGAAAAAAAUGGGAUUUUCUGGAUAAAAUUGUGAAACAAACAUGAUCUCGAUUUUAUGAAUAGUAUAGAACUGGAAAUUGGUUUUGGAAAUGAAACCAAACAUAUACUAAAAAUCUUGAUAUUCGGAAUAUGUUUAUAAUUUUUUAAUAAAUAUAAUUUUCUUAAUGUAAAUUUUCAUAAUUGAUUCGGGCCCAGAUAAAAGCUCGAACUCAGACUCGAAUUUUUCGUGUUCGAACUUUCUGACGAACCGAGUUUGAGCCAGUUUUUAGUUUUUCGUGAGUUCACGAGACGGCUCGCGAGCCUUAUUUAUUAUUAAUUUUUUUUAUAUAUUAUAUUUUAUUUAAAUAAUGUAUAAUAAUAUAAAAUAUUAUAGAAAUAAAUAAAAAUAUAUAUAAUUACAAUUAAUUGUUUAUUUUGUAAAUUUAUAAAAAUAAUUUUUAAUAAUAAUAAAAUAAUAUUAAACAAAAAUCAACAAAUAGCUCGAGCACGACAAAAUGGACACGAGCUCGAGCUCGGGCCAAAAAGAAAGAACUCGACGUGCUCGAGCUCAAGAAAAGAGGCAAGUUCGGCUCUUUCACACGAGAGUCCAUCUCGGGUGACUGACCCAAAGAUAAAUAAUGAAGAUUUGGAAGUGAAAUUGGCGAAAGAGUCAACUUCAAUUCGCGAUCUAGCUAAGUUACUGGAAAAGUAAAGCCCAGUUUUCGAAAACUCAUCUCGAAUAGUACUUAGCUCUAGGAGAGGAGUUCGUAAGUAGUCAUACCGGGGAGACUUCUUGGCCGGCUUGGAAGGCACGUUGCGAGAUCAAUUUCAUAGCAUCUAAAUAACCCAUUGAGAAAGAAUUUUUAAGGAGGAGAAUCUUGUUGCUUAAGGAAAAUAUAUUCUAUCCCAAAGAUGGACUUAUGAGAACCUAACCCUAUGUAUGUAUGAUGUAUCCGAUAGACAAAAAUUGAGGGCAUGACAUAAUUCGGAAAAUAGAUACCAAAAAGAACUAUAGUUGUCUGUUUCUCUUAACAAUAAUUGUCUCUUCUCCAAGGUCCGAAUUAGAUAGUCGUUAAUAGAAAGAAGCUUAAUUUCACUUUACACCCUUGAAAUAACACUAUUUGGACACUUUCCAUCUUGAAAAAUAAUUUACAGCACUUUGCACCUUCAAAACAUGUUUAAUCAUUUAAAGGGCACUCUAGUAUAUUUUUGGGUCAUAAUUUUUUGUCAUUAACUUAGGGGUUUGCUAUUAUCAGUGCGGUUUUUACCACUCGCAGUGCAAAAUAAUUCAUUUUUUUUUUCCAAAUCUUAUCCAAAUUAAACUUCCUCUCAAACACUCUCAACUUUUAAUUCUCGAAAUUUUUCAAAUUCAGCAAUUUUUCAACCAAUAUCAGUUAGAGCACAAGUAUUAUCGGCAUGGAUGACAACGACUUCGAUUUUGAGGUGAAAAUACACGUUUUUUGUUCAUUUCCAACGUUUUUAGACAUUUCGUGUUAUAACACACGAAAUAUAUGCUUUCGUUUCGUGUAAUACUAUACGAAAUAUGUCUUAAAAUCGUUUGUUGUUUGUUUCGUAUAAAAGCAUACGAAAUUAAAGCUUACAUUUCGUAGUAAAACGUACGAAAUGGAAGCUCUUAUUUCGUAUGUUUUUACACGAAAUGGUAGCUUACAUUUCGUAUGUUUUUCUACGAAAUCCCUUAAAUAUUGUCUUUUAAUUUCAAAUAUUUAUGUAGGAACUAAGAGAACAAUCUCAUGAUCAAAGUCACUUCUUUGAACGUGAUAUUGUGUGUGAUAGUAGAGAAGCAUUAAUUAUGUGGGCAAAAGACACAACAAUUAGUCAUAAUCAUCGACUGAUUAAUCAUUGUAAAUCAGAAAAAUAUCAUGUUUUAACGUGUGCGAGAUAUUAAUCUGGACGACACGUACUAUUGAAGAAACGUUCUUGUCCGUUCAGGUUAAUGGACAAAAAAUCAACGGAGGAUGGAUUAUGGCGAUUGAGUGUGAGUAAUGGUAAUCAUAACCAUCUGCCAGGUAUUUGAUAGUUUAACUUAUGUUUAAAUAUGUAUUUGUUUUAAUUUUGCAUUUUAAUGAUUAAUUUAUGUUUUGGAAUAUUUAAAUUUGUAGCGUUGUGUUUUGCAUUUUUUUAUGUUUAAACUAUGUUUUUUGAAUGAUUAAACUUGUAAGGUUGUUUGUAAGGUUGUUUGAAUGUGUAUUUUAAUUGCUUCAGUUGUACGUAAGUUCUAAAUUCAAAUCAUAAAACUAGUGAAUUAAAAUACAAAACAAAACAACAAGCAAGUAAAUUAAAUAGUUCGUAAUAAUAAUAAACAAAAUUAGUAAAAUAAUUAGUUCCUAAUAAUAAUAAAAAUAAAUUAUUAAUUUAAAUAGUUCCUAAGAAUAAUAAAAAUGCAUAGUCCUAAUAAUAAUAAAAAUAAACUUUCAAAUUAAAUAGUUCAUAAAAAUACAUAACUAGCAAAAAAAACCGAUAAACUACCGCCUCGCUCUUCUCGACGGCUGCACCUCAUGAUCGUCAUCGUCGUCGUCGUUGUCCUGGUCGAUGCCAAUAUAUCGGGCGACGGGCUGCAUAAUAUCUUCAAGGUCGGCACGUAGAUCGACAACCUGCUGCAUCCAGUCCUGUCCAGUGCUCCUGGUGAUCGGGUACAAUGCACGUACUAUCUGGUAAUAAGCCGGCUGAUCUGGUGGCCUCACAUUCUCUCGAUGCACUGGAGUCGAGCCUACGUCGGGGUUGAUGAUCUUCAGAUGAGUCCGAUCGGUGUACCACUCUAUGUAGUGCUCGUCGACUUCCCCCCGUUGUCGUGUCGUCUUGUAUACGUUGGCACGAAUGGAAUGAGCCUGGACCAUGUCCCACAUACCACUCGGAAAUGGGUAGUUGACUUUGUACGAUGUACAUCCUUUGGGACCGCGUGAACAUGGCUCCAUCGAUGGAAUCAAGCCGCGCGGAAUAUCCUGAACCCACCCGAACUGUCGGACGCAACGAUCAGGCAUAUACGGCUCUACGACCCACAUGUCGUGGAUUGUGCCAUGAUACAACGUACGAGGGAUACUCUCGUGUAUAUCUCGACCAUACGGUAGCCACUCAACCUAAAUAGAAAACAAUAUAAAUACAUAAAUCAAAAAAUUCAUAUUUAAACAAACUACAAACAUAAACCGAAAAAUUCAUAUUUAAAAAAAUAUAUAAACACAUAAAUCAAAAAAUUCAUAUUUAAAAAAAAAUUAAAUACAUAAAUAUAAAAAACUUACAUCAUCCGCUGUCAUAUAAUCAAGUAAACUUCGAAUAUGCUCGAGCGUGCCCGCUUUUGGCAGCGCGUUCCACCUCUUGCAUCGAGGCUGAAACUCGCAGUACUGUUCGCUCUCCUCCGGCGGCUGGAAUCUCGGGAAAUACUCGUAUAUCCAUCACUGCAAUAUUUUAGUUAAAGAUAUUAAAAUUUAUAAAAAUAUAUUAAAAUUUACAAAAUAUAUUAAAAUUUAUUAAAAUAUUUUAAAAUGAAUAAAAUAAGUACAAAAUAUAUUAAAAUUUACCUGAAGAAAGAAAGGUGGUGCAACCCGCCAAGCUCCUCGACUGUGCUCGGCUGCAUAUACCCAAAUCCCUGUAUAGAUUGGCCAAACAUGCCGAACCCCACGAAUACAUGCCGACAUCAUCAAGCACUGAAUCUACGAGCACGUGCAUAUACCACGACUUCACCCGAUCACAUGUCUUGUCGGUGAAUAAAAUCGAUCCGAGGAGAAACACCAUAUAUAUCUGAACUCGGCGUCUCAUGGGCGUGUCGGGCAUCAACAACUAUCCAUGUAUCAUCCUCCAUGUGGGGCCCCCACGCUUCCAUGACUCGUCAAUCUCCUCAAAAUCGAGGUGUAAUACCUCGGACAGCAAAUACACGCAGUUUGUCCUCUCGAUGACCUCAUCGUACCUAGGCGCGACCACCCGUCCCUCCACAUUGGCACCUAGAAUCAUCUGGACAUCGUCAUAGUCAUCUCUCCCCACGGCAUAUGGAAGCUGUUUGUAAAUAACUUCGGGUUAGGGGAUACAAACUGGUCAUCCGCAGAAAAUGCUUGUCUACGGAUACAUCUAUGUCUUCUAGGGCAGCUGCUAUCUUCUCGUAAUAGAAAUGGUUCAGGGAGUUGAUACGGGUCUCCAGUCGUCCAACCGGACGUUCCUGCAAUCAUUUAUUUAGCAACCUUAUUAAUUAAUCAACUAUAAAAAUAUUUUAAUAUAAGAUACAUAAAUUAUAAUAUAAAAUUAAAACAAGUAAUUAACUUACUUCUCCCCUCCAAAUAUAUGCCGCUACGUGCGACUUGAAACUCGUAAUCAAAGACGGAUCCCGCGGGCCACCGGGAAAUGGACCAUCUAGCACAUCCGGAUUAACUCGAGUAUGAGCUCGACCACCACGACCUCCACGGCCCCGUCGUCGGCAUCCAUAACCUCCACGAACUACAACCUCAGUCUCGUGAACGGGGUCCACAGCAUCCUCCUCCUCUACCAUAGCACGAGAAGACCCAACAUCGGGAUCUGCAACUGAUGAUCUGGCUUCACCAGCUCUCUCAGCCUCUCGUCUACGUCGUGUAGACAUAGUCAUGCGCUCGCGCUCGCGCUCUUGAUGCUCAGCCUCUUCACGAACUGCUCGCAUAAUUGCCUUUGAUUUGCCUUUGCCUGCCAUAUGUUAAAGAAGACGCCAUUAACGUCAGUAUAAAUAAUAAUAAUAAAUAAAACAAAGCUUAAAAUAAAUGAAAUUUUCCAGUUAUUUCGUGGAAAAACACACGAAAUUAAUGCUUGCAUUUCGUGUUUGUGUUCACCAAAGACAAGCACUAAUUUCGUGUGUUUUUCCACGAAAUAACUGGAAUAUGGCCGAAACUCUUACGUUUCGUGCAAAAUCUUACAAAACAAAAGCUCACAUUUCGUGAGAAAUCUCACUAAAUAAUCAAAUUGAAUAAUACCAGAAUAAUCCCUUUAAUGAUGACGUCAGUGUAGGAUUCAGGGUCUGAUUCUUGGAAAGAGAGCAAAUGAUCAAUCAUGGUAUUUGUGUUCUUAUUGGAUCUGUGUUCAUCUAUCAAGCCUUGUAAGAAAUCAUCCAGUUUCCCACUCAGCUUCGUCAAAUUCUUCUCGAAAUUCUUGUAAUCAAUCCAUCUCAGCACCGGGAAGAAAUCCACCGGAUUUGACGCGCCGCCGUAGGAGAAAGCUUCCUUUAUAAGCCCUCGAAACCGCUCGGCCUCGUCAUUCUCCUCGCCGAAGUAGCGUUUUCCGGCAACCAUUCUCAUGAUAUUGUUAAACGUGAGCUCCGUAAAAAGGGGCCUGAGUUCGACUCGGGCGAAAUCUCCUAACGAGUUGCCACCGAGCUUCUCCAGCAUACGUUUCACUUCGUCUUCUCUGAUUGAUCGGAACGUGUUCAGACGCGCCGACGAGAAGAUUUCGACCGUCGUCAAGCGGCGGAGGUUGCGCCAGUGGUCGCCGUACGACGAGCCCACAACGGUGGUGUAGUUGUAGCCGAUGUACUUUCCGAUGAGGAAACGGGGCCUGUUGGCUAAAACGACGUCGUUCUUUGUGAAGCACUCCUCUGCGGUGGCGGGGGAGGAGAUCACUACCACGAGGCGGCUCCCCAAACGGAGAGAGAAAAUGGGGCCCAGCUUCUGAGAGAGGUUGUAGCAGGUACGAUGAAGUGGAAAUUUGAGGAGGUGGAGGUGCCCCAACAGAGGAAGCGCCGCCGCCGGACUCGGUGGGAAUUUUCUUUGCCCGGAUUUUGCAGAAAACUUGAAAACGAUAAGAACAAAC